AACUUUCAACAACGGAUCUCUUGGCUCUCGCAUCGAUGAAGAACGCAGCGAAAUGCGAUAAGUAAUGUGAAUUGCAGAAUUCAGUGAAUCAUCGAAUCUUUGAACGCACCUUGCGCCCCUUGGUAUUCCGAGGGGCAUGCCUGUUUGAGUGUCAUUAA
Molecule: ribosomal RNA, 158 nt
Filed under: Pleurotus ostreatus (oyster mushroom)
Lineage: Eukaryota; Fungi; Basidiomycota; Agaricomycetes; Agaricales; Pleurotaceae
Description: 5.8S ribosomal RNA
Rfam family: 5.8S ribosomal RNA
About the family: 5.8S ribosomal RNA (5.8S rRNA) is a component of the large subunit of the eukaryotic ribosome. It is transcribed by RNA polymerase I as part of the 45S precursor that also contains 18S and 28S rRNA.
Source: RNAcentral